UUUUCCUAAUUUUGGUUUUGAAUAAUUUGUGGAUGUCCACAGAAGGUUUAAAAGGUGAAUUAAUAUGAAUAUCACCUACUACAGAAGAAUUUUCCGAAAAGAUACAAAAAAGUCAAAAAAUUACACUCAACAUUUUUAUUUUCGAUCACAAUUUCAAUCUUAAAAUUUCAAAAAACUUUAUUUAAAAAAUAUUUAAUAAAAUUUAAAAAAAAACUUCAAACGGGAAAAUAUAUCCACCAAGAACGACUGGACUGAUGUUUAUGAUCUUGCAUUUUUUUGGAUUCGUGUUCUUUCUGAAUAUUGUAUAGUGACUAUAAAAACGACCAAAAAAACAAAUCAGGGAUAGAAAUAAACGUGCCAUGUUAUGUAUGUUGGCUCCGUUCAUUGGUACGAAAAGAUGGCGUUGUGUGUGCAUUAAUCUAAUAGUAGCAAGUAGCCACGUUGCAAAAAAUAUGGCGCAUUUUAACAUUUUAUUUGAUGCGUUUUUUAUUUUAAAAACUUUUUGUAAAGUUUGGAUCGGUAGUCAUCAUAACUUAAAAUUGUACGCAUUUGAAAAUUUGGGCUCUAUGCAAAGGAGAUUGAGAUUGCCCAAUAUUAUAUGAAAAUUAAACUUCUGACAAAGACGUUGAGAAAUGAGACUAGAAUGAGAAUGCUGAACAUAAGCCUUAACAAAACUUUUAUGUUUUAUGAAAA
Molecule: long non-coding RNA, 693 nt
Organism: Episyrphus balteatus (marmalade hoverfly)
Lineage: Eukaryota; Metazoa; Arthropoda; Insecta; Diptera; Syrphidae
Exons: 3
Source: RefSeq, a predicted model, not a curated record